AUUGAACGCUGGCGGAAUGCUUUACACAUGCAAGUCGAACGGCAGCACGGACUUCGGUCUGGUGGCAAGUGGCGAACGGGUGAGUAAUGUAUCGGAACGUGCCCAGUCGUGGGGGAUAACGUAGUGAAAAUUACGCUAAUACCGCAUACGAUCUAUGGAUGAAAGCGGGGGAUCGCAAGACCUCGCGCGAUUGGAGCGGCCGAUAUCAGAGUAGGUAGUUGGUGGGGUAAAGGCCCACCAAGCCAACGAUCUGUAGCUGGUCUGAGAGGACGACAAGCCACACUGGAACUGAGACACGGUCCAGACUCCUACGGGAGGCAGCAGUGGGGAAUUUUGGACAAUGGGCGAAAGCCUGAUCCAGCCAUUCCGCGUGCAGGAUGAAGGCCCUCGGGUUGUAAACUGCUUUUGUACAGAACGAAAAGGUUUCUACUAAUACUAGGAGCUCAUGACGGUACUGUAAGAAUAAGCACCGGCUAACUACGUGCCAGCCGCCGCGGUAA
Molecule: ribosomal RNA, 500 nt
Filed under: uncultured bacterium
Lineage: Bacteria
Description: partial 16S ribosomal RNA
Rfam family: Bacterial small subunit ribosomal RNA
Source: RNAcentral